This 7732-nucleotide unclassified non-coding RNA is filed under the name Mizuhopecten yessoensis (Yesso scallop). Its description in RNAcentral is "glycylpeptide N-tetradecanoyltransferase 1-like, transcript variant X1". Lineage: Eukaryota; Metazoa; Mollusca; Bivalvia; Pectinida; Pectinidae. The record is from RNAcentral.
UUAGAAAGCAUGGCGGAUGCGGACUCUCUGCAUGAUAUGAGCUCGGACUUAGAUCAAGAUCAAAGCGCUGUAGACGCUGAUGUCGACGACGAUGAAGUUUCCGAGCAAGGACUUGAAGCUGCGUCUAGGAAGAAAAAUAAGAAAUUUCUUAAAAAGAGGAAACACAAGGAUAUUGAAAGGUCAAGUGGUGACUCAGACAGUCAGAUAGUCAAUGAUGAUGAAGAUCACGGUGUCAGGGUUCCCAUACUGCAUGACCAGAACGAACAAAACCAAUCAGGAAUGGAGGCUGACUCAGAAAGUCAAGGAUCUGGAUCAAAAGGAUCAGAAAAUGGACAGAAAAAGGAAGCUUCAGGAGCUUCGGGUCCACUAACAGAGGAUGCACCAGAGACAUCACUGUCGGGGUUACAGAGGAUACAGAAGGCUGUUGAGCUACUUUCAAUGACUCCAGCUGCACCUAAAAGUAUGGAAGAGGCAUCCAAGAAACGCUACCAGUUCUGGGAGACCCAGCCAGUACCAAAGAUAAAUGAGAAGAUCCAGACGAGUGUGAAUGAGGCCAUAGAAUUGGAUAAACCUGAGGAUGAGAUCCGGGGUGACGCAUAUUCCCUCCCCGGGGGCUUCAGAUGGGAUACCCUCGACUUGUGUGACCCCCUCAUUUUGAAAGAGCUGUAUACCCUACUGAAUGAGAACUAUGUAGAGGAUGAUGACAACAUGUUCCGCUUCGACUAUUCUCCAGAAUUCUUACAGUGGGCGCUGCAGCCUCCAGGCUGGUCUAAGGACUGGCAUUGUGGGGUGAGAGUUAUCAAGAACGACAAGCUCUGUGGGUUCAUCAGUGCCGUCCCGGCAAACAUCAAGAUGUAUGAUAAAUCAAAACAAAUGGUAGAAAUAAAUUUCUUGUGUGUCCACAAGCGACUUCGAUCAAAGCGGGUGGCUCCAGUUCUGAUUAGGGAGAUAACUCGUCGUGUCCACAUGAAGGGACUUUUCCAGGCAGUGUAUACUGCAGGAGUGGUCCUACCAAAACCGGUGGCCUGUUGUAGAUAUUGGCACAGAUCUUUAAAUCCUAGGAAAUUAAUUGAAGUGAAGUUUUCACACCUAAGUAGGAACAUGACUAUGCAGCGGACACUCAAAUUGUACAAACUCCCAGAUACCCCCAAAACACCCGGAUUUAGGAAGUUUACCCCAGCAGAUAUCCAAGACGUACAUGCUUUGUUAUCUACUUAUUUGCAGGGACUAGAUUUAGCACCAGUAUUUUCUAUGGAGGAGUUCAAGCACUGGUUUAUACCCAGGCCGGGAAUCAUUGAUAGCUAUGUAGUGGAGAGGGAUGGAAUAGUGACUGACUUUGUCAGCUUCUACACGCUACCGUCGACUGUGAUGCACCACCCAACCCACAAGUACUUGAAGGCGGCCUACUCCUUCUACAAUGUCAGCACAAAGACGCCCUGGAUGGAACUGAUGCAGGACGCACUUAUUGUUGCAAGGAGUAUGGGAUUUGAUGUAUUUAACGCCUUAGAUUUGAUGGACAAUAAAGAAUUUCUGGAAAGGCUUAAGUUUGGCAUCGGUGAUGGAAACCUACAGUAUUACCUGUACAACUGGAAGUGUGCCCAGAUGAAUCCAGAACAGGUUGGUUUAGUGCUACACUGAUGAAAAACCUAAGGGACAACUUCCAUUGGACAAAAACCAAGAAAAUCCUUGAGUCUGUCGAACAGUCCUUCUCAGCAUUAGGAGAUGUGUUGUUACCUGACUAUACAGAGCUAAGCAUGCUACAAUAUACCACUAUCUUAAUGCUGUACGAAGGGAUGUCAAUCUUAACCUUGGAUCCUAUGAUUUAUGGCGUGCACUGUUUGAGGUCAACGAAAAACGUGUGUUGGUUGUGUAGAACAAACACCAAACAAUAUUGAAAAAACUUCACCAGAAUUGUGGUUGGGUGGUUACUGGAAAAACCACACAUUGUCAUAAAAUUCCUCUAUAUAUACAUUAUAUAUGCUUGUGUAUAUGUAUUGGAAGGGAUUUUUAUUUGAUUGUGCUUUACCGAGUUGAAAGAAGACUGUCAAAAGAACGGGUGAUCUUGAUUACAAAAAAACAUAACUGAUAUUUAUUGUUAAUACGUGAGAGGGAAUACAUGUAUUAACUUAACUUUUGGAUAUUAUUAGGAAGGGCCAGGCCAGCAAGGCUAUUCAUGUCCAAUAUGUCGGGAGUUCAUUCAUUUUUCCAUGUUUGUUAUCAAUGAGAGCAAGGCAAAAAAUCUUGAUUGUGUUAGACAACCUAGCUGCAUUAAAUGGUACCUACAUACUGGUACGUUUAUUUAGUGAAUAUGUACAAAACUGGCAUUCCUUACACUAAACCACUGUAGCAUGGUCAGCUUCUGGCUUUGAUAUAGGUGAUGCCAUUAUUCUUUUUGAAAUAGUGAGAUUUUAAAAAACUGAUUCAGUGUAAUUAAGGAUAAGCUCGAUUUUGUGAAACGCUUUUUUCUAUUUCAGUAAAAGGAGAACAAAGUUGCUUAUAAUUCCCAAAUGUUUAGAUACAUGACUUGGCUGAUUUUGUUCAGUCUGUGUAGAGCUACAGAUAAUUUCGACAUAUAUGAAAAUGAACUGUAGCAUAAAGUUGAAAUUUUCUACUCUCUAAUCUUAAUGCAGAAGAGAAUAACACUAAGUGUUCUGUGAUACCAUAAUGGAAUGGUUUUGAUUGUGUCCAUAACACAUUCCAGACACUAGAGUUUGGUAUGAGGUCUAUUAACUCAUUCACCCCUGCAUAUUUAAACUGGACUUGCCUAGCCUAUGAUUUGGUAAGGUUCAAAUGUGACUUUAGCGGUGAAUGGGUUGAAGAGGAUAUUUCUUGAAUAGUGCAUAAGGAAUUUCAUAAACUUAUAUUUAAAAAAUACCUAGAAAAUAAGUGUCUGAACAAUUCUUGUCAUUCAGUCAUUUUUGUCCUAUGACUGUUUCCAGAAUUGAUAUCAAAUACCCUAUUACUCUAAAGAACAUUUUUCCAUAGUCCAAGCAUAUUUGAUGUUAGAAUAUAAUAUUAUUUGCCUUUGAAAGGAUAGUAACAGUGUUUGAGAGAAAAUGUGAAUAAGUGUGGCUUAUUGCACAUCAUCACUACUACACAAAGUGUACAGAUUUUAAGGCAAGGUACUUGUCAGCAUUCAUACACCAUGGUCUACGAUCCAUAGAUUUUGUUAUAUUGUGACAUCAGGUCAGACAUUGAGGCUGCUUUCUUAAUUACAAAGUGUGUGGAGGUUUGUACUGUUGCAAUAAGUGUGAUGAAUUUAUACAUGCCAUGGAAAUGAUGUCAUAAUUUACUAGUACACAUAGUCUCUUAAUGGACUGGAACCUCGUUAGUUGUGACAAUGUUGUCAGAGUAGUGUCCUUGUUACUCUAGGGGCUACAUCACUCACUGAUGUGCUCUGCACUCCUGGAGCAUGUAAUGGCAAAAUGGAAGGCCCGGUGCUAGCUAUCCGACUGGUCUAGAUCUCGAGUAAAAGAACAAACUAACCAGUAGCAAGGUUGAUAGCUGUCCUUUGAAGACUACAGAGGCUUGACACCUGACUCAGAUGUUGCCAUUAACUCUUUCACCCCUGAAGCACAUUUGAACUCUUCCAAUUCAAAGGUUGGAAUAGUUCAUUAUGAAAUUUCAGGGGUGAAAGAGUAAUAAGCUACUGCACAGUUCUGUUCGAUGUAUAUCAAAGAAUGAAACUAGUCUAACUUGUAUCAUCCACACGAUGGCAUGUACAGCGCCUUCGGUUAUGCUACAAAUUGUUCCAGAGGUGCCAAAAACAUAAGUGAGAUUAUCUGCAGGUAUUUCACAGAUGGAACCUCACUAAUCACAGCAAUGUAGUCAUAGUAGUAGAAAAACCAGAUGUGAUUAUCAUUUCUAGUGAAGCGAGGUAAUGUAAAUUGAUUGUUGUAACUGUUAAUGAUUUGUACCUGUGAUCCAGUUUGAGCUUUCUCUGCUUAUUCAUGCAUGUCAGUACUGUUUUCAUUAUUGAUAUACUGAAAACUGGGAUAUUUCGCUGCAGUUUAAUUUUCGCCUUGUUUGCCCUCUCAUAGUGAAGGGGAACUUAUCAUUACAGGGAACAUUUGUAAACAAAAUAAUUAACAUAGUCAUUAAAUUUGAAUGGCAAUUUUAAUAUUGGGCGAAAAUGGAUUUUACCGGCGAACGGCGAAAGUUUGACUGGGCAAAAAUGUCCCUGUUUGCAGUAGAGCAUUCAACAUGGAAUUGGAUAUCAAGUAAUUUUGUCCAUUUUGGAUUCCAGAACAUGUGUUACGAUUUCAUUUUUCAAGAUUUAUUUUUUGGUAUCAACUUUUAAAUUGAGCUUGAUAACAUGGAUUCUGUUUUUUAUCAGGGUUUUGAUUAAUACUCUCCUGUAAUUUUGAGUAGAUGUUCUUAUGUGAAAAACAAAUGGAAAAGAACAAAUGUCUGUAAAAGACAUGUAUUUGCCUAUAACACAUCUUUGUCAAAAUCUUCAGAGAGUUAGGUGUUGUUGACAAGGUCUGAAGGUCUGAAUAGGUUAACAGGGUCAACAUAAUAUUUAGAGAUUGGUGUAGUUGACAUAAUCUUUAGAGAUUGGUGUAGUUGACAUACAGGUAAUAUUGAGAGGUCAGUGUAGUAAACAUAAUCUUUAGAGAUUGGUGUAGUUGACAUACAGGUAAUAUUGAGAGGUCAGUGUAGUUGACAUAAUCUCAACAGGUUAGUGUGUUUGACAUACAGGUAAUAUUGAGAGGUCUCUGUAGUUGACAUACUCUCAACAGGUUCUGAAAACAUCUUUCCAAAUGAUGUAGAAAUGGUCAUUAAAGUCAUGAUCAAUGAUGAGUAGAAAGUGUGUAUGUUCUGAUUGGUUUAUAUGUUGGACACUAUCUGGAGACUUGUGCAGUAGAGCUCUCUGGAGCAGGCCUAGAUGUGUAGUGGCAAAAUGUUCAACUAAGACAUGCACAGGUUUCAGUACUUCACUGCGCUGGAUGAAGAGACACAAAUUUGUUUGUUAGAUUUUGUAUUGAAUGAAUGCUGUAAAUGAUAACUCUCAUUUGCUUUCUUUGAGUAGUUGCAUAUUUUAAUGAAAUCUGAAGGUAUUGAUUUUAUACUUUGGGUUUGUUGCUUUUUUGUAGAAUUCCUAAUGUAGAUGUAGUUUUGAUAUUUGUUACUAAUAAUGAGUUAUAGAAAAAAAUUGUAGAAUCAAGUUAUAUCCUUGAUUUUAAGGUAAACGUGAACUGCUAUGUAAAAUAUUACCAGAAUCAUGGUCACAUCUACAAGCUGACUGCAAAAGCUUGUUUUUAUGAAUUAGUUUGGAAAGUAAAACUGUGAAAGAAAGUGAAUUUGCGUAUGUUUCAUAAUGUAAUGUGUAACAGGUAACUUUGGUCGGAUUUGAAGAAAAGCUUCAAAUGCAAUUCAGUGUGUUAUAGAAUGAGACUUUGUAUAUGACACAAACAUGAUCCACUAGCUGUAUUAUUAUGCCUCAUCUAUAUGUAACAGCAGAUUUGAUUGGAUCAUGUUGAUCACAUGACUUUAAAAUAAAAUGUUGUGUUUCCCUCUCAUUAUAGUUUCCCCUGGUCAUAUUUUCCCACAUUUGGGGGCCUCAAGUUAAAAAAAUCUGUAAAAAUUAUUACCCUGAGUUUUGAUUGAUUAAAACAGAAAAAUCAAUGAAUUAUACUGUUAUUGUACUAUCUCUGUAAAAUAGAAUACGUAUGAUUUAUCAAUUAUAUUAAUGAAAUUUUGUUCGCAGAAAUGCGAGAUGAACCAUGGUAUGAGAGUUUCCCCUACAACAUUUCAUUUUACGAUUUGCCAAAACAAGACCUAUUGUAUAAAAAAAAUUGAUAACAAUUUCCAUUUUAUUGAGACUUUUGACUUUGUUUAGUUUCUACAAUUUAUACGUCAUCAAGAAAACUCAUUAAAAUGUUAGUGUAUUGUAGUUUAGAUAUUAAAGAAAUCAUAAUCACUCGACACAUUUUCACAAAAGUAGUUUUAGAUAUUUGUGUCAUGAGCAGGCAUGGUUUGUCUUUGCGAUACCUUUUGGUUUUGAUUUAGGUUCCUUCUGUUGGGUUCUGGAUUGUGGUUGGUUGGUAUUUCGUGGACUUGUACGCAAGGAUUUUUGAUAGUGAAUUGAUAAGUGGAUGUGUAUCAAUUAGAGAGGGAACAUGUGGAUCAUUUGUGUUUGUCUUUAAUUUAUUUCCUUAUAGUAUUGUUUAUUUUGAUAGACGAUCAUGGUUUUUUCUUUUGUAUGCCAUCAUUUGUCAUGCGGUAAUGUAAUAAUAUAACAGGGUUAUUUGGAUCUGAUAAUGUCUGCUUCAAAAUUUAUAUGACCUGCAACAAAUGUUCUUGCGACUUUGCUUGCAAUGCAUAAGUGUUGCUGUAUACUUAGUUAUUUAUGCAUGAAGAUAUCAGAUCACUGUUUACUGGGGAAAUUUUGAUGCGGUUUAAUUUCCGCAAUUUUCAGUUCCGCAAUAAGGACAAAUUCAUUAUGACAGCUAAUAUUAGUACAUGGUUUACCCUAUAUAGUAAUUACCCGUGAAGAGUGAAAUUUACACUAGUGACUAUUCGACUGGGCAAAAAUUCCCAGUAUACAAUAUAACUAAUGGUAUAUAUGUCUGCCUUAAUAUAUACCUGUCUGUAAUGAACAUAUAUUGUAAGGCUCUAGUAGGAUUGCUUUCUACAGAGAAAAUUGUCGGGUCUCGCACAAAAUUUGUUAUAUAUACAUGUACUGUAUUUAUCCUGUAAUAAGGGCAGGGGCCCCAACACAUAUUCUCUGACUGAAAGUAGUGGGUGGACUUAUUACAGGACAAAGAAAAAGCUUUUGUUGGCAUUUCUUCCAAACAGCAAUAUAUAUUGGUGGGCUUAUUACCAGGCAUGGGCUUAUUGCUCGAUAAAUACGGUACAACACAAUGAAAUUCAUGCAGGGCAUUUUAUAUAUACAUACAAUCAUGUAAAUAAUUGAAGUUGAAAUUUCCCUCAUUCAGGCUUUAAUUUACACAUGGUUCCUGUUUUGUAUCAUAAAAUUAAUUGAAGCAAAAAUUUCCCUCAUGCAGAAUGUCUUAUGCUUGUAUGUGACCACCUAGAUAACACCCUGAAAAACAAGUGCUAGUUGAAUUACUUUUAGUUUAAAUACUGGUAUCGUUCCAAAUCCAGAUCGAAGCAUGAUACUCGUAAAUCAUACAUUCAAUGUGAUAAAGUGUAUGUGAGGAACAGGAUCAUGUAUCUUAUACUGUGAUGUGAUUAGAUCGUGUAUGCAAUCAAGGGCAGAUAAUUCAUCUCAUGUUUUUCUUGAUUGAUUACCAAGUUGGUCCAGAGAUGUACAUAAACAAAAUGAUUCUGUGUCUCUGAUAGAUGUUGAAGUUUAGGAAAAACCUUUUUUAGUCUUGGAAGGCUUUGUACUCAUCAGAUUUAAAAAAAAAUCAUCGUUAUUGCAUAUUGAAUGUAAUCAUAUAGGUUUUUGAGUGUUAAAAAAUGGUAUGAAACCACUUAUACAUGUAUAUGUGAAAUCAUUUUGAUUUUUGUUUUGCUUUAUUUCCAUCAUUUUGACUUGUUUUCUUGUACUGAUGCAGUACUUUUAGAAAAGAUUCAAUUCUAAGCCAUCUUGUAAUUCUGGAACAAUGUAUUAAUUGAUUCAGAGGUAUCCUUGUGUGUACAGGGGAUACCAUUUACCAUUGGGUAUUGAUUGCUAUACUCUUUGAAUUUCUGUACUACAUUAUAGGCAAACUAUUUGUCUUAAAAGACAAAAUUUGCUAAAUAAAACAUACUGUGUGUGAAA